Molecule: ribosomal RNA, 864 nt
Filed under: Keithomyces carneus
Lineage: Eukaryota; Fungi; Ascomycota; Sordariomycetes; Hypocreales; Clavicipitaceae
Description: partial large subunit ribosomal RNA
Rfam family: Eukaryotic large subunit ribosomal RNA
Source: RNAcentral
AUUGCCCCAGUAACGGCGAGUGAAGCGGCAACAGCUCAAAUUUGAAAUCUGGCCCCCAGGGUCCGAGUUGUAAUUUGCAGAGGAUGCUUUUGGCAAGGUGCCUUCCGAGUUCCCUGGAACGGGACGCCAUAGAGGGUGAGAGCCCCGUCUGGUUGGAUACCGAGCCUCUGUAAAGCUCCUUCGACGAGUCGAGUAGUUUGGGAAUGCUGCUCUAAAUGGGAGGUAUAUGUCUUCUAAAGCUAAAUAUUGGCCAGAGACCGAUAGCGCACAAGUAGAGUGAUCGAAAGAUGAAAAGCACUUUGAAAAGAGGGUUAAAUAGUACGUGAAAUUGUUGAAAGGGAAGCGCUCAUGACCAGACUUGGGCCCGGUGAAUCAUCCAGCGCUCGUCGCUGGUGCACUUUGCCGGGCUCAGGCCAGCAUCAGUUCGCUCCGGGGGACAAAGGCUCUGGGAAUGUGGCUCCUCCGGGAGUGUUAUAGCCCACUGCGCAAUACCCUGGGGCGGACUGAGGUUCGCGCAUUCGUGCAAGGAUGCUGGCGUAAUGGUCAUCAGUGACCCGUCUUGAAACACGGACCAAGGAGUCGUCUUCGUAUGCGAGUGUUCGGGUGUAAAACCCCUACGCGUAAUGAAAGUGAACGCAGGUGAGAGCUUCGGCGCAUCAUCGACCGAUCCUGAUGUUCUCGGAUGGAUUUGAGUAAGAGCAUACGGGGCCGGACCCGAAAGAAGGUGAACUAUGCCUGUAUAGGGUGAAGCCAGAGGAAACUCUGGUGGAGGCUCGCAGCGGUUCUGACGUGCAAAUCGAUCGUCAAAUAUGGGCAUGGGGGCGAAAGACUAAUCGAACCUUCUAGUAGCUGGUUUCCGCCGAG